Molecule: long non-coding RNA, 590 nt
Filed under: Homo sapiens (human)
Lineage: Eukaryota; Metazoa; Chordata; Mammalia; Primates; Hominidae
Description: non-protein coding lnc-BAG4-7:4
Source: RNAcentral
CUUAACAUAGGGCAUGUAACAGGACAAAUGAGAUAAAAUAAUGACAACCAAGUAAGUUUUAUCCAGUCCAUUUCUAAACUGACAAGAAUACCUUAUUCAAUACCUUAUAUAGGUCAUCUGACAGAUACUUGAGGGCUGUUUGCACACAUCAAGUGUGUUGGCAGGCAGGGAGGGGAGCAGUAAAAGCUGAGGGUGCUUUCUCACUAACUAGCAGAUGCAGUAAUGCCACAUAAGAAAACUAAGGACUGAAUAAAUGACUUUGGCAUCUAUUCUAUUUUCCCUUUUUACUUACAUGUAAAUUACUUUUACAGCCUACUGAAGGACAGGCAAUUCUCAUCCCCCUCCCGCUUCAUACAUACGUGCCACAAGCACCCAAACUUGUCACUUAUGCAAUGGACUGACCAAAACAAAACAAAAAACAGAAAUGUUUUUUGAAAGACACGGAUUACCCACAUUUUGGGAGUGUAACCAGAGCUCUGUUACAGAUAUGAAAACAAAAUGUGACACAAUGAAGAAGCUGCAUAAAAAUACUGAAACCUAAGGUAUCUGUAGUAUAUAGGAUGUACCCUGGCUUACCAUAGAAAAGUCUU